This 805-nucleotide long non-coding RNA is filed under the name Rattus norvegicus (Norway rat). Its description in RNAcentral is "long non-coding RNA NONRATT021785". The record is from RNAcentral. Lineage: Eukaryota; Metazoa; Chordata; Mammalia; Rodentia; Muridae.
CCAUCUCACGCUUCUUUAAGGCCUUUGACCUUCCCAUGCUGCACGGUUAGGUUAAUGUCUGACUGAAGAGAAGAGGACUUAAUGUACAGGGCCUGUUGUCACUGCUUGCAGUUUUGCUCCUCAGAAGAUGUCCCGGAGGGCCAGUCUGAUUCCUCCUGAACAUUAUCCACAAUGCUCUCUGCUCCCCAAGCUGCUGUAGAACAGGGGUUGCUGGUGUCUGUGACCCAUCCUGCCUUCUCAGCUUUACUCUUAAGGAACAUUCUCAGAGCCACAGCCUCAUAGCCUGCCUAGCAACUGAGUUUGUCUUAAUUCACACCCAUUCCCUCCUCCAUUCAUUCAUUCAAAAAUGUUAUGAAAUGCCCACUGUAUACACAUCAGUGUGCACGGUGCCCAUCCUUGGAAAAGGCUCAAAUAGGGAUGGUGUGGAAGUCCGUGAGACAUGCUCAGUUGAAUCAUGGCAGUGAACUCAUACCUUCUCCCCUCUUCCCAGAAACAUCUUCAGACCAGCAUUCUUUGUUCUCCACUCUCAUGGCAUCUGUGGGCUUGGGUGAGCCACGUCUUUGCUGGGAAGAUCCCAUUUGGCAGGUCAGGAUUUUUGCUGUCAGUGUUAUUGCCCUGAAACAUGUUCUGUUUAAGGAACUGUACAUGCUCAUUUGCGUCAGCUGACUGCUUAACACACCCAUGCGCGCUUCGUGGACAUAGCCAGCACUGUGCUGAGCUCAGGCAGAGCCAGUUGAAUGUCUCGGCAUUUUGCAGACUUUCCCCCAGGUGUAGAGGACAGCUACCAGACAUAGUCAAGCUCUAC